GGAUGUAUAGUUCAGUAGCAGAAUGCCUGCCUGGCAUGCAUGAGGACCUGAGUUUAAUCCCCAGCAUCUG
RNAcentral lists this transfer RNA (70 nucleotides) under Ictidomys tridecemlineatus (thirteen-lined ground squirrel). Its description in RNAcentral is "Spermophilus tridecemlineatus (thirteen-lined ground squirrel) tRNA". It matches the Rfam family "tRNA". Rfam says of the family: Transfer RNA (tRNA) molecules are approximately 80 nucleotides in length. The record is from Rfam by way of RNAcentral. Lineage: Eukaryota; Metazoa; Chordata; Mammalia; Rodentia; Sciuridae.